This 474-nucleotide ribosomal RNA is filed under the name uncultured Desulfobulbus sp. RNAcentral's name for it is "bacterial SSU rRNA". It matches the Rfam family "Bacterial small subunit ribosomal RNA", at positions 916 to 1381 of the family's 1533-position model. Lineage: Bacteria; Pseudomonadati; Thermodesulfobacteriota; Desulfobulbia; Desulfobulbales; Desulfobulbaceae. The record is from RNAcentral.
ACGGGGCCCGCACAAGCGGUGGAGUAUGUGGUUUAAUUCGAUGCAACGCGAAGAACCUUACCUGGUCUUGACAUCCCGGAGACCCUUAGGAAACUAGGGGGUGCUUCCAUCUGGAAGAAUCUGGAGACAGGUGCUGCAUGGCUGUCGUCAGCUCGUGUCGUGAGAUGUCGGGUUAAGUCCCGCAACGAGCGCAACCCUUGCCUUUAGUUGCCAGCAGUUCGGCUGGGCACUCUAAAGGGACUGCCGGUGUUAAACCGGAGGAAGGUGGGGAUGACGUCAAGUCCUCAUGGCCUUUAUGACCAGGGCUACACACGUACUACAAUGGCCGAUACAAAGGGCAGCGACACUGCGAGGUGAAGCCAAUCCCGUAAAAUCGGUCUCAGUCCGGAUUGGAGUCUGCAACUCGACUCCAUGAAGUUGGAAUCGCUAGUAAUCGUGGAUCAGCAUGCCACGGUGAAUACGUUCCCGGGCCUU